AUGGACCACCUUGCGUGGAACUAUGAGAAAAAUGAUAUGUUCACGGUAAGGAGUGCCUACAAGUUGGGAAUGUUUUUGAAGCAGCAGGAAACAACAGCCGGAUCAUCAAGUAAUGUAAGCACUGGAAGGGAAAAUCUUUGGAAUUUAAUCUGGAAAGCGCAUGUCCCUCACAAAAUCCGUAUUGUGGCCCGGAGAAUCGCCACUGACUCACUCCCUACAAAAGAGAACAAAAGGAAGAGAACACUUGUUGUUGAUAGCACAUGUAAUAUAUAUGGCAGAGAGACGGAGGAUGCCCAACACGCAGUUCUGAAAUGUACCAAAGCUACAGCUCUCCGGGAGGAAAUGAGAGAGCACUGGACCUUACCAAGUGAAACUCUGCUUGUUACUCGGGACCCGGACUGGCUACUUCAUGCUCUCAGUCUUUGUUCUGGAGACAUGCGAGAAAAGCUGCUCUUGGUUUUAUGGCGUUCGUGGCAUCUUAGGGACGACAUUGUGCAUGACAAAGGAACAACAAAGGUGUCUGACUCAGUCCUAUUCCUGAAGAAUUAUUGGGAAACUCUGAAUUCAAACAGUCAAAGUAGAGGUGAUGUGAAAGGGAAAAAACCUCCGCACGAUGUACAAAUGCAAUCGCCCACUACUCAGGAAUUGAAGCCGACCAUCCGCUGGUCCAGACCACAAGGUGGAAUCGGACUGUGCCGCAGUUGUCGCGGCUGUAAAUGCAAGAGAAAGGAACAAUGCAAAGUGGUGGACUACUUAUGA
RNAcentral lists this ribosomal RNA (759 nucleotides) under Triticum aestivum (bread wheat). RNAcentral describes it as "partial small subunit ribosomal RNA". The record is from RNAcentral. Lineage: Eukaryota; Viridiplantae; Streptophyta; Magnoliopsida; Poales; Poaceae.